GAUGAACGCUGGCGGCGUGCCUAAUACAUGCAAGUCGAGCGAACAGACGAGGGGCUUGCUCCUCUGACGUUAGCGGCGGACGGGUGAGUAACACGUGGAUAACCUACCUAUAAGACUGGGAUAACUUCGGGAAACCGGAGCUAAUACCGGAUAAUAUAUUGAACCGCAUGGUUCAAUAGUGAAAGACGGGUUUGCUGUCACUUAUAGAUGGAUCCGCGCCGCAUUAGCUAGUUGGUAAGGUAACGGCUUACCAAGGCAACGAUGCGUAGCCGACCUGAGAGCGUGAUCGGCCACCCUGGACCUGAGACACGGUCCAGACUCCUACGGGAGGCAGGAGUAGGGAAUCUUCCGCAAUGGGCGAAAGCGUGACGGAGCAGCGCCGCGUGAGUGAUGAGGGUCUUCGGAUCGUAAAACUCUGCUAUUAGGGAAGAACAAUUGUGUAAGUAACUAUGCACGUCUUGACGGUACCUAAUCAGAACGCCACGGCUAAAUACGUG
This 497-nucleotide ribosomal RNA is filed under the name uncultured bacterium. Its description in RNAcentral is "partial 16S ribosomal RNA". It matches the Rfam family "Bacterial small subunit ribosomal RNA", at positions 28 to 507 of the family's 1533-position model. The record is from RNAcentral.